This is a non-coding RNA of Auriculariales sp. MPI-PUGE-AT-0066, 81 nucleotides long. The record is from the annotation of a GenBank genome assembly. Lineage: Eukaryota; Fungi; Basidiomycota; Agaricomycetes; Auriculariales.
GGUCGUGUAGCUCACUUGGCAGAGCCACUCAUUGAAGAAAAAACAUCGAGUUAAAUCCCAGUUUGAAUCUGGGCGCGACCA